GAGUUCUAUAACUCCCAAACCCAUGUGAACAUACCUAACGUUGCCUCGGCAGGUCGCACCUACCUUGUAGCACCCUACCCUGUAGGGCCUACCCGGGAGGUGCGGGUAAGCCUGCCGGCGGCCCACCAAACUCUGUUUGAUAUUGAAUUCUGAACCUAUAACUAAAUAAGUUAAAACUUUCAACAACGGAUCUCUUGGUUCUGGCAUCGAUGAAGAACGCAGCGAAAUGCGAUAAGUAAUGUGAAUUGCAGAAUUCAGUGAAUCAUCGAAUCUUUGAACGCAUAUUGCGCCCAUUAGUAUUCUAGUGGGCAGGACCGUUCGAGCGUCAUUUCAACCCUUAAGCCUUCGUUGCUUAGUGUUGGGAGCCUACGGCAACGUAGCUCCUCAAAGUUAGUGGCGGAGUUGGUUCACACUCUAGACGUAGUAAUUUUUUAUCUCGCCUAUUAGUUGGACUAAUCCCCUGCCGUAAAACCCCCAAUUUAUCAAGGUUGACCUCGAAUCGGUUCAGACAAACU
Molecule: ribosomal RNA, 515 nt
Filed under: fungal endophyte
Lineage: Eukaryota; Fungi
Description: eukaryotic LSU rRNA
Rfam family: 5.8S ribosomal RNA (bases 175-328)
Source: RNAcentral